RNAcentral lists this ribosomal RNA (489 nucleotides) under uncultured bacterium. RNAcentral describes it as "partial 16S ribosomal RNA". It matches the Rfam family "Bacterial small subunit ribosomal RNA", at positions 30 to 506 of the family's 1533-position model. The record is from RNAcentral.
AUUGAACGCUGGCGGCAGGCCUAACACAUGCAAGUCGAACGGUAACAGGAAGCAGCUUGCUGCUUUGCUGACGAGUGGCGGACGGGUGAGUAAUGUCUGGGAAACUGCCUGAUGGAGGGGGAUAACUACUGGAAACGGUAGCUAAUACCGCAUAACGUCGCAAGACCAAAGAGGGGGACCUUCGGGCCUCUUGCCAUCGGAUGUGCCCAGAUGGGAUUAGCUAGUAGGUGGGGUAAAGGCUCACCUAGGCGACGAUCCCUAGCUGGUCUGAGAGGAUGACCAGCCACACUGGAACUGAGACACGGUCCAGACUCCUACGGGAGGCAGCAGUGGGGAAUAUUGCACAAUGGGCGCAAGCCUGAGGCAGCCAUGCCGCGUGUAUGAAGAAGGCCUUCGGGUUGUAAAGUACUUUCAGCGGGGAGGAAGGGAGUAAAGUUAAUACCUUUGCUCAUUGACGUUACCCGCAGAAGAAGCACCGGCUAACUCCGU